RNAcentral lists this ribosomal RNA (459 nucleotides) under uncultured bacterium. Its description in RNAcentral is "partial 16S ribosomal RNA". It matches the Rfam family "Bacterial small subunit ribosomal RNA", at positions 338 to 795 of the family's 1533-position model. The record is from RNAcentral.
CCUACGGGAGACAGCAGUGAGGAAUAUUGGUCAAUGGACGAGAGUCUGAACCAGCCAAGCCGCGUGAAGGAUGACUGCCCUGUGGGUUGUAAACCUCUUUUAUAAAGGAACAAAACGAGGCACGUGUGCCCUUUUGCGUGUACUUUAUGAAAAAGGAUCGGCUAACUCCGUGCCAGCAGCCGCGGUAAUACGGAGGAUCCGAGCGUUAUCCGGAUUUAUUGGGUUUAAGGGGUGCGCAGGCGGGCAUUUAAGUCAGCGGUCAAAUGUCGGGGCUCAACCCCGGCCUGCCGUUGAAACUGGCUGCCUUGAGUUGGCGAGAAGUAUGCGGAAUGCGCGGUGUAGCGGUGAAAUGCAUAGAUAUCGCGCAGAACCCCGAUUGCGAAGGCAGCAUGCCGGCGCCCUACUGACGCUGAGGCACGAAAGUGCGGGUAUCGAACAGGAUUAGAUACCCGAGUAGUC